This 410-nucleotide ribosomal RNA is filed under the name uncultured bacterium. Its description in RNAcentral is "bacterial SSU rRNA". It matches the Rfam family "Bacterial small subunit ribosomal RNA", at positions 355 to 774 of the family's 1533-position model. The record is from RNAcentral.
UCGAGAAUCUUUCACAAUGGGGGGAACCCUGAUGGAGCGACGCCGCGUGGAGGAUACAGUCUUCGGAUUUUAAACUCCUGUCAUGCGAGAGUAAGGUUAAUAGCUUGAUAGUAUCGCAAGAGGAAGAGGCGGCAAACUCUGUGCCAGCAGCCGCGGUAAUACAGAGGCCUCAAGCGUUGUUCGGAAUCACUGGGCGUAAAGGGUGCGUAGGUGGCUUUGUAAGUCAAUUUGUAAAAUCCGUGCGCUCAACGCACGUGUGCAUUUGAUACUGCGAGGCUUGAGAUAUUUAGGGGAGAUGGGAAUUCACGGUGUAGCAGUGAAAUGCGUAGAUAUCGUGAGGAACACCAAUGGCGAAGGCACAUCUCUGGAAAUUUUCUGACACUGAGGCACGAAGGCUAGGGUAGCAAAUG